AUGAGUGCCCUCACAGAAGAUACAUCAUCUGAGUCCCAAGAUAGAUCCUUGUACUUUGAUGAAAACCAAAUCAUAUAUAAUGUGGUUUCUUCCAUAUACAAGAGCACAGUUCAUCAUUUUUGGGUGCAGGUUUUACACCCCCCAAAAGAAAUGUCACUAACUGCUAUGUGGUGCGGUGGACAUGGCUAUGGCUCCUGCUCCAGUGUGCGCCUGAUCCACCUCUUCUUCCCCCUCCCCAACUAUCCUCUUCCAGAACCAGUGCUUCCUCCACACCUGCUCCAUCUGCUCCAUGGGCAGCUGCUUCGUCUCCGGCAGGAAGAAGAAGACGAACAGCGUCAUCACGCACACCCACCCGCCAAACAGGAAGAAGGUGCCGAACUUGAGAUGGCACAGCAUGUUGAGGAACGUCUGCCCGAUCACAAACGUCAUCAGGAAGAUGACCGCAAUCACGACGCUCUGCCCUGCCGACCUGAUCUCCAGCGGGCAGAUCUCUGUUGGCACCAAGUAGGUGAGAGGUCCCCAGGACCAGGCGAACCCUGCCACGAACACGCACAUGAUGACCAGGACCAGGUAUCCGUACUCCUUAUCCAUGACUCCAUGGUCCUUGAACUUCACGGCCAGGAUCGCACCGACAGUGAACUGUGA
Molecule: ribosomal RNA, 645 nt
Filed under: Triticum aestivum (bread wheat)
Lineage: Eukaryota; Viridiplantae; Streptophyta; Magnoliopsida; Poales; Poaceae
Description: partial small subunit ribosomal RNA
Source: RNAcentral